CCCCCACCCCACAAUCACAACUGACAAAGCUUCUUGGAUGAGAAGCAAAACGUUUUGUUCUUCUUCCUUAAGGGAAGUGGGGGAGGGGGAGAAACCAGCCUGGUUGCCUUUUGAAAAAGCGUUUUGGAGAAAACAGCAAGGGAAAAAAUGCAACAGAGACUCUGGUUUCUUCUUUGUGCCCGAGUUCACUGUUUCACUGGUCUUUGACCUAAUAGAAACAGGAAAAGGAGUCACAACUUUUGCUGACCCCACUUGUGACCGAUAUCUUGCCAGAGUUAUGAAACUGGCACUAAAUGCUACUUUAUGUUCAAUGUACAAGGCAUGUCAGUAAGAAAAACCCCGUUCAAAUGUAGGAAGGGAACAACUAACAGGGAUGAAAAGAGUUGUGCUGUAAACUGUCAGAAAAAUGUUCCUCUGUCCUCAUGCCACGGCUAAUGGGGUUGAUUCAAAUCUCCCAGAUCAAAAAAACAUCCAUGUUUCAAUGAACUGGCCUCUUUUUCUGCCCAAAGCACAACAAGCCCUGGAAAGUACUGCCUAGACACUGAAGGACAUACAGUAAUAUAUCUCCAUGGCUACCUAAAGCGGUGAUUAUGAUAACACACGAUGACAACAAUAAUGAAAUGGUCAGUGAAAUAAGGUGCUCUGAGCAUUGAACCCUCAGUGCUUGUCAGGCUCAAGCAACUGGAGCCACUGGUAAACUGCCAGAAGAAAAUCCUAAGCAUGCCAUCAUCAAGAAAAAAAAUGGAUCAUGUUAUCAGAAAGUGCAGGAGAGCUCUAGUCAACUGAGCAACGAUGAAUCAAACGAACACAACCCAGAACUGCAGAUAUUCAAGAUAAUAAAGAUGUUACAUACUUAAAAAAAGAAGAAGAAGAAUUGACUCAGAUUGACUCAAAACCUCUUAGCUGAAACUGAGAAAAAAAAUACUGCUCAGAGUUACUGCAUCUGCAGAAAUCCAAUUUUGGAGAACAUAAAGGUGCUUCUGUAAACUGGAGAUAAUGGGGAACAUUAGUAUUCCUGCAAGAGAUUGGACAUCGGUUCCCUUUUUAAGGAUACUUUGGACAUUUUGUGGAUCAAUCAAGAGAGGGAAGGCAAUGGGUCCUGGGUCCUUACCAAAUGAUGGAAGAUGAACAUUCACUUGGGCGAUUAGCUAUCUACUACAAAUUGUUCCCAAUCUGCCUCAGACAUCAACAGUAUAAGAAAUAUGGAGGACAGCCCAAUCAGAAACUUGAUUGUAGCAGAUAGAAAAGAUGAAUUAGAUUUAUGGUUGUGUUCAAUACUCAUUGUCUGUUGUAUCCCAUUGGCAGGCUAUACAGGCUAACUCUGCCCACUACUAGGAGUUUGAUCCUGACCAGCUCAAGAUUGAGUCAGCCUUUCAUCCUUCCAAGCAUCAAGCAGAGCCUAUUUUCCUCCUGAUCAUUGAGUGGAUUCAUUCUACAGUGUAUCAAAACCAAAACCAAAACAAACCAAAGAAGGAAUAGCUGUUGUCAAAAAACCACGCACCCUCAAUACAAAAAUCCAUUGACCGCUUCUUUUUAGGUUAAAGAAAAGGACAAAAAACCCCACCCUGUUCUAGCUAUCAUCUAAAAAUUUCUGGAACCUUCAUUUCAUGUAAGUGUGCAUGCAAUGCAGAGAGUACCAAUUUCAAUAUUCUAUAUAUAGUUUUUAUGCAGGUGAAUAUUACAGACACAUAUUUAUUGGUCAAUGAUUUGUACCGUGCCUCAGAAUGAAUGUGUAGACUGUACAUGUUUUGUUUUGUUGAUAGCAUUCUGUUCUGUUGGGUGAUGUUUAGUGCUUUUCAGAGUCAGACUAUACUUUAUCUCAAGACAGCAAUAUUUUCCUCCUCUUGUAAAACUUGUGUCUGAUUUUUACCGGGACUCGCCCAAAUGCAGAGAAAAGAAGUUCAUCAAGGUGAGCUUUAAAGGUAUGUUAUUCAUUUUCACCAGUUCCUUAUGCUGAGUGUCUGAAGAAUUAAAUUUGUGGGAAGGGAAGACAAUGUUAAAACUCCCGUCUUAUUUGCAGAAGAAAUAAUAAGAAAGGUUGGAAUGGUAAGUUAAAGAGAUGUGGUUUCCAUCUUUAGCUUUGAGAUCUUUUGCAUUUCAGUUUGCGCUUUCCCAAGUGUUGGAAAAUUCUGGGUCCCUUCUAGCAGGGUCAAUUUCCUUUUAGAAGAGAAUGUCUGAAAGACAUAUGCUGCUUUUGAUUUAAAAAAAAAUCUGUUUAUGAAAAAUCCUAUUUGCAAGCAGUCUGAGCAAGAAGCAUUAGGAAUAACACCUUUAGCAGGCAUUAAUCUUCAAAACAGCAUGAGUUCUCAAACUAUUUUUGGCAUAUCUAGGACCAUUUGGGGUCCUCACUGCUCAUUAACAUAUAUUUUUUUCAGUACAUGGAUAUGGUAAUAAUAUACAAGGUAGGUGUUUUGAAGACAAACAAUAGUGGACUAAUUGGGGUCUUAAAGAGGUGAACCCUUUCAUGGAUCACAGCCUUGUCAUGGUGAAGGGGCUUGCACAGCACAAUGAAGCUAUGAGCUAUGCUGUGCAGGGCCACCCAAGACAGACAGGUCAUAGCAGAGAGCUCUGUCAAAAUGUGAUCCACUGGAGAAGGAAAUGGCAACCCACUCCAGUAUCUUUGCCAUGAAAACCCCACAAAAAGGCAAUACAAAAAGGCAAAAAGAUAUGAUGGUGGAAGAUGAGCCCUUCAGGUCGGAAGGUGUCCAAUAUGCUACUGGGGAAGAGCAGAGGGCUAGUACCAGAGGUGAUAUUCAGCUGAUUCGGAUCGAUUCAGGCAAACCGGUAGCGGUGACUGCGGGUCUGCACAUCUGCCCAGAUGUAAUGCUGUCCUGUCAUGUUUUCAAGGUUGGGAGCAUGCACAGAAGGCACGCAGGAGCAAAGCACAUGUGCGGAAUGCAUGUUUUGCCCCAACUAUGGACCCCAAAGAAUGUAGCACACACAAAGUCCAUACAAACCUUAGUUUACUAAUUAAGGACUACUAAUGAGUUUUCUUAGUAGUUGUUCCAACACAAGUACAGUUAAAAUCAGUCUUUUCUGAACAAGGGGUGUUAAUUUAACUUCAUUAACAGCCGGCAAGAAUCCAAAGAAUAAUAACUCAAUUCUGAAGCACAGUAUUUCAGAUAACCGUAAUCUUACUGUGGUUGGCAGAAUGCCCAGAAGCAAUUUGCAGGAAAACUGACAAGAAAGAAGCAAGAGCUGAUCAGACAUUUCUGGAAUCAAGAUGCAAAGGAAUAUGAACAAAGUUGUUUCCUGCAAAUUGCCUCAGUCGUCGUCCUUCCUUAAAUAGGCUAGGGGAGUGGCCAAUUAGCCCCAAGCCUUACUCUUGAGGAGACCUCCUCCUGAGGAGCCACUCCUGCCUUUUGGCAGCUCUGCUCACUCAUACAUCAAGAAGAGGCUCCUCCUCUUCUUCCUUUUCACUUAUGGGAGCUUCUGGAGGUUGAAGGCCCUGGCUGAAUCCCCGCCUCUGGCACCACAUCUUCUCCAGCCUCCUCAUUGUCUGACUCGAAUGCCAGCUGCAUAGGCUGCUGGCACAUCACCACAUCAGCCUCCUCGCUGUUGGAAUCAGCUACUAGCUGCACAGGCCGCUGAUGGGCCACAACACCAUGAGCUUCCAUCAGCAGUCCUGUAUGGCAAGUAUAAAAGGAUACAUUCACAGAAAGACUCUGUCCCUGUGGCUCAGGAGAGGUGGAGAUUGUGGGCACAUUCUCCUUAGAUUUUCUUUUUAUACGGAGAUUAGGAAAAAACAUAUUUACCAAUAACUGCUAGCUCUCCUGGCCGUUCCGACACGACCUAUCUUCAGUGGCUGCUUAAGGAUGAACAGUCCAUAACUACAGCACAGGUGGCCAGAUUCUGUGUGGCAGCACUGGGGAUUUGUCGCAAACACAUGUCUUCUCCACCAUAGCGAUGUUAUAUAAUAAUUGUGGCAAACCCUUUGCACUGCUUAGUCAUUUCCCUUUUAGCGUUGAACAUACAAUGGGCCACACAGUUUACAGAUUGCAACUAUUAUAUAGUCAGACCAUGUAUAAUUGACCCUGGAUUUUAUUAUAGAUUUUAGUUGUUAUUUAUUAUUUUACCCUAGAAGUUUUAAAUGUAUAUAUGCUGAGUGCUUUUAUUUGUUCUGGUCUAAGACUGUAAUAAUAAAUUGUUGUUGGUCUUGGAGUACAAAAUGAGGCAGGGCACAGGCUGGUAGAAUUUUGUCAAGAGAAUACAAUGGUCAUCACAAAUAAUCUUUUUCAAACAACCCAAAAGAUGACUCUACACAUGGACAUCACCAGACGGCCAACACAGAAAUCAGAUUGACUAUGUGCUCUGAAGCCAAAGAUUGAGAACCUCUAUGCAGUCAGUAAAAACAAGACCAGGAGCUGACUGUGGCUCAGAUCAUGAGCUUCUCAUGGCAAAAUUUAGGCUUAAAUUGAAUAAAGUAGGGAAAAGCACUAGGACUUAAGCACUUAAAUUGAAUAAAGUAGGGAAAAGCAUUAGGACACUCAGGUGAACUAAAUCUUAUCCCUGAUUAAUAUAUAGUAGAGGUGACAAAAAGAUUUAAGGAAUUAGAUCUGAUAGACUGAAGUGCCUGAAGAACUAUGGAUGGAGGUUUACAACAUUGUACAAGAGGUAGCAACUAAAACCAUCCCAAAGAAAAAGAAAUGCAAGAAAGCAAAAUGACAGUCUGAGAAAGCCUUACAAAUAGCUGAGGAAAGAAGGGAAGUGAAAGGCAAGGGAGAAAGAGAAAGAUACACCCAAUUAAAUGCAGAAUUCCAGAGAAUAGUUGAAGAGAUAAGAAUGCCUUCUUAAAUGAACAGUGCAAAGAAAUAGAAAAAAAAGAAAAAACAAUAGAAUAAGGAGGAGCAGAGAUCUCUUCAAGAAAAUUGGAGAUAUGAAGAGAAAGUUUCAUGCAAAGAGGACAUGAUAAAGGACCAAAAUGGCAGGGACCUAACGGAGGCAGAAGAGAUUAAGAAGAGGUGGCAAAUUACACAGAAGAACUAUACAAGAAGAACAUCCCUGAUAAUGUCCCUGAUAACCACGAUGGGGUGGGUACUGACCUCAAACCAGACAUCCUGGAAUGCAAAGUCAAAUGGGCCUUAGGAAGUCUGAGCAACAACAAAAAUAGUGGAGGUGACAGUAAUCCAGCUGAGCUAUUCAAAAUCUUAAAAGACAAUGCAGUAAAAGUGCUAUAUUCAAUAUGCCAGCGAAUUUGGAAAACUCAACAGUGGCCACAGGAUUGGAAAAGGUCACUUUACAUUACAAUUCCAAAGAAGGGCAAUGCCAAAGUAUGUUCAAAUUACCGUAUCAUUGCACUCAUUUCACAUGCUACCAAAGUUAUGCUCAAAAUCCUACAAGUUAGGCUCCAGCAGUAUGUGGACCGAGAACUACCAGAAGUGCAGGCAGGUUUUCAAAGAGGCAGAGGAACUAGAGAUCAAAUUGCCAACAUACACUGGAUUAUGGAAAAAGCUAGGGAGUUCCAGAAAAAACAUCUAUUUCUACUUCAUUGACUAUGCUAAAGCCUUUGAUUGUGUGGAUCACAACAAAUUGUGGCAAGUUCUCAAAAAGAUGGGAGUACCAGAUCAUCUUUGUCUCUUGAGAAACCUAUAUGCGAGUCAAGAAGCAAGUGGACAAGGAACCACUGAUUGGUUCAAAAUUGAGAAAGGAGUUCGGCAAGGCUGUAUACUGUUACCCUGCCUAUUUAACUUAUAUGCAGAGCACAUCAUGAGAAAGGCAGAGCUAGAUGAAUCACAAGUUGGAAUUAAGAUUGCCGGGAGAAAUAUCAACAACCUCAGAUAUGCAGAUGAUACCACUCUAAUGGCAGAAAGUGAAGAAGAACUAAAGGGCCUUCUGAUGCGGGUGAAGGAGGAGAGUGCAAAAGUUGGUUGGAAACUCAACAUUAAGAAAACUAAGAUCAUGGCUCCCGGCCCUCUCAAUCUCUAGAUGGGGAAGAAAUGGAGAUAGUGACAGAUUUUAUUUUCCUGGAUUCCAAGAUACUGCACAUGGGGACUACAGCCAAGAAAUUAAAAGACACUUGCUCCUGGGAAGGAAAGCUAUGGCAAAGUUAGGCAACAUACUAAAAAGCAAAGACAUUACCUUGCCAACAAAAGUGUGUAUAGUCAAGGCUAUGGUUUUCCCAGUUGCAAUGUAUGGUUGUGAAAGUUGGACCAUAAGGAAGGCUGAGUGCCAAAGAACUGAGGCCUUUGAACUAUGGUGCUGGAGAAGACUCCUGCAAGUCCCUUGGACUGCAAGACGAUCAAACUGGUCAGUCCUAGAGGAGAUCAACCCUGACUGCUUUUUAGAAGGAAAAUGAAACUCAAAUACUUUGUCCACUUAAUGAGAAAGAAGGAUUCACUGGAGAAGAACCUAAUGCUGGGAACGAUUGAGGGCAAAAGAAGAAGGAACGGCAGAGAAUGAGGUAGCAGGAUGGAGUCACUGAAGCAGUAGGCUUCAGUGGUGGUCUCUGGGGGAUGGUAGAGGAAAGGAAGGCCUAGAGGAAAGUUGUCCAUAGGAUUGUGAUGGGUCGGACAUGACUUCACAACUAACAACAUCAAAAGAUGUGAAGAAAGCAGUCUAUUAUAAUACAGUAACCCAUAAUUUAUGUUUCAGACAAAUAAUGGAUUUAGACAAUUGUUCAAAUCUGACAACAGUAGGAUCUUUACCUUGUGAUCUCGUGCCCUGAUAUGUAAUGUUUUUCCUUUAGUUUUUACACUGAGAGGUGGCAAUUGGAUUUUUUUUUUUAAAAAAAGAAAUUGCAACAGUGACUGAUUGCUUCCAGAAAAUGAGUUACUAUAUAUAAGGGAAAAGCUAGAAAUAACCAAUGCAUUUAAGUUUCAUUUUCUAUAAUACUAUGUAUUUAACUGCAAGUGAUUAUUUUAAUGCGAUCACUUUGCCAGUUAUUUUGUUCAUCAGGUUUUCUUUUCACUUGGUAGCCUCCCUUUUAGUCUCAGUAUUCUAUUUAUUUUCAAGCCAUGCAAUGUGAUCUAAAGUUGUUAAUUUUCUUUUAGAUUUAAAAAAAAAAAUCCUUUCUGUAACCCAUGAAGCUUUUUUUUAAAGUAACAUUACAGCAAUAGCAACCAUUGUUGCAUGACCUUGAAUCAUCAGCAUUUCAUAUUUCAAAAUCUGAUACGAAAUUGCCUGUUUGUAAAUAUGCAGGAUUGAAGAAUAUGAAGUCAACCCACUCCCUUAUUUCUUAUGUUUAAGGGAUCAUCUCAGGUGAUUGUAUUCCAUUUAUUAAUAAUGCUGAUAUGCAGUAGCUUUUCUCAUCCCUGUAAACAGUUUCCUCUGGUAGGAACCAGCCAUGAGACAUUGAUGCAGAUCAGGGGCGGGUUUCAAAACCCGUCGCUACCGGUUUGCUCGUGGCCACAUGCGCACACGACACUUUUGUGCAUGCACAGAAGCUUCCAAGCAGGUGGGCGGAGCCUCCCUCCAUCGCCGCUACUGGUUCACCCAAUCCUGGGUGAACUGGUAGCAACCCACCACUGAUGCAGAUUCAAAUUGGCCCUGCUGGAAAUAGAGAAUUGAAAUAUGCUCAUUCCUUGUCCUUAUUGCCAAUGAUGUUUAGAGGAGCAAUCCAUGUCUACAUGCAAGGGAAAGGAAUUGCAAAACCAGUCUGCCCAUCCUCGUUCUCCAGCAUAAUUAGAUUUUGCAUUAGACCCAACCACUGGAUGGGAGAAAAUAUCCCAUCAAGAUUAUAGUCAGUGAGAGAUUGUAUUUAUUUGUAAAAUUAUUAUAAAUUUUCUCAUUCCAAAGCCUUGAAAAUUCUCCAUAGGCCACAGGUGUUCUUUUGCAUUUAUUCUCUUUACAUUUCCCAAUACCAGAGCGAAAAUAAUGCAUGAACUGAGGUGUAAACAGUCUAUUUCAUUUAAUAAGAUCAGAGGACUGGACAACCAGGGAGACAUCAAGAUAUUAUUAACAGGGGUAGCCACAGCAAUGGUCAUUGACUUUUUAAAAAUCCCCCUUUUUAUAGGUAGUCAAUAAGCAUUAAAAGAGGCUCUUGCCAGAUUCAACAUUUAAUUAAUCUCAGAUUUAAUUUUCUUAAAGAAUGUACCAUUGGUCAAAGUACACCUCCAUCCUUGUGGUAAUCAUUGGUUUUGAUUCAGAUUUAUUUUGCUCAAACAAAGUAACUUGGGCUCAAAUUCCUGAUCCCCAAACAGUCUUUUUGAAAGCCUCUUUUUUGGACUUUUUUUUUCUAUUUCAUUUUUUUUUCCUUAAAGGGUUUUCUAGAGUUGUUGUUAUUAAAAACAGGGGAGGCUGUAUUUAUUCUCUUUCCUCAUUCAGCUUUAAGCUACCUUGUAUGAUUUGAAAUUUUCAUUCAAAUGAACAUGGGUGACUUUUAUGUCCUACCUCUGGGGUUCUGGUUCAGAGGUCUACACAGAUGAUCUAGCUAGGAAGAGAAAAAUAUGAACACAAACAAAGCAUUAUUAAUUCUGGCUUUUUCGACUAUAUAAUAGGAGCAACACUGAUCUAUUCCAAAAAAAGGAAAUAAUGAUGCUAAGUAUUCCCUAGAGUUCCCAUGGGGCACAAAUGCAUUGAUCCUAAAAGGAUAUCUCUCCCACUCAGCUACCUUAUUACAGCAAAGGUAAUAUCUUUGGGUGAAGCUUAACUGCUGGUAACCUCACAAAUAUGUCCAAUAUUUAUCACGUAUCAAGAUAUUUAGCCUCAAAUCUAAUCUUUUCCCACAAUUUCUGGAUCUAACUUCUUUUUCCCUUUUUCUUGUAUGUGGAAAAUUUCAAAACAUUUUAUCCUGACUGAUCUUUAAUUGGAUUAUUUUGGGUUUAGAGACAUUCUGAAGACUAGAAUUGUUUAACAUGUAAUUAUCUAUCUAUCAUCUAUCUAUCUAUCUAUCUAUCUAUCUAUCUAUCUAUCUAUCUAUCUAUCUAUCUAUCUAUCUAUCAUGGAUCACUGCCUUGUCGUGACAAAGAGCUUGUGCAGUGCAAUGAAGCUAUGAGCUAUGCCGUGCAGGGCCACCCAAGCAAAAAUCCCUGCACCCCCCACCCACCAUGCCCAGCUGAGCUGCACGAUCAUCAGAGGCUUUUUUUUUUUACUUUUAAAAGCAUUUUUUCUACAACCACUUCCAACGAAAAAAUGCUUUUAAAAGGUUAAAAAAAAGCCUCUGAUGAUCACGCGGCUCAGCUGGAAUCGUCAGAGGCUUUUCAAAGCAUUUUUUUCUGCAACAUCUUGGCCGAAGAGGUGGUAAAAAAAAUGCUUUGAAAAGUCUCUGAUGAUCCCAGCUGAGUUGCCUGAUCGGCAGAGAGGUAUUUUUUAAAAAGCCUCUCUGACGAUCCCAGCUGAGUUGCCUGAUCGGCAGAGGCUUUUCAAAGCAUUAGAAAAAAUUGAAAAGUUGGCCAUGCCCACCCAGUCACAUUACCCCCCCACACACCAAGCCACGCCCACAGAACCGGUAGUAACAAAUUUUACAUUUCACCCCUGGCUAGUACUAGUAGCACCAGAAAGAGUGAAGUGACUGGGCCAAAACCGAAAGGACGCUGUGCUGUGGAUGCAUCUGGUGGUGAAAAGAAAGUCCAAUGCUGUAAAGAUCUAUACUCCAUAGGAACCUGGAAUGUAAGAUCCAUGAAUCAAGGCGAGGUGGACAAACCUUAAGGUCAAACAAGAGAUGACAAUACUGAACAUCGACAUCUUAGGAAUCAACAAAGUAAAAUGGACAGGAAUAGGUGAAUUUAAUUCAGAUGAACAUCAGGUAUACUACUGUGGGCAAGAGUCCCUCAGAAGAAUUGGAGUAGCCUUCAUAGUCAAUAGCAUUGGCAUCCUUCAGUCUCAAAAGACUAUGGUAUUGUGCUCUGGAAAGAGGUCCUAAAAUAGAAUCUAGUGUGACUAAAAAGGCCAAUUCGAGACUGGCAGUUCCUUCCACACUGAGGGCAGAUACAUACUGUCCCCUGCCCAGCCCCCAGAUUUCACUGGUUCCAGGACUGCCUCUUUGCCUCAGCCUGCCGAACAAGUGUCUCUUCGAAUUGGAGAAGGCCAUGCUGCAUCUUUAGCCUCCAAGCUGAACGAUAGGAGGUCAAGUUGUUAAUAUCCAUUCCCAGGGCCUUUAGGUCCCUCUUGCAGAUAUCCUUAUAUCGCAGCUGUGGUUUCCCUCUGAGGCGCUUUCCUUACACUAAUUCUCCAUACAGGAGAUCUUUCGGAAUCCGACCAUCAGCCAUUCUCAUGACAUGCCCCAGCCAGCGUAGAUGUUGCUGUUUCAAUAGUGUAUACAUGCUAGAAAUUUCAGCACAUUCCAAGACUGUUCUAUUUGGAACUUUGUCCUGCCAGGUGAUGCCAAGAAUACAUCGGAGACAGCGCAUAUGAAAGGUGUUUAACUUUCUCUCAUUCCGUGCAUAAAGGGUCCAAGACUCCUGCACUACAAGAGUGGGCUCAGGACGCAGGCUCUAUAGACCUGGAUCUUUGUAUGUUCCGUCAGCUUCUUAUUAAGCCAUACUCUCUUUGUAACUCUGGAAAAUGUGGUGGCCGCUUUACCAAUAUGUUUAUUCAGCUCAGUAUCUAAAGAGAGAGUGUCAGAGAUAGUUGAGCCAAGGUACACAAAGUCAUGAACGACUUCCAGUUCUUGUGCAGAAAUUGUAAUACAGGAAGGUGAAUCCACAUCCUGAGCUAUGACUUGUGUUUUUUACAGGCUGAUUGUUAGUCCAAAGUCUUGGCAGGCCUUGCUAAAACUGUCCAUAAGUUGUUGAAGAUCUUCAGCAGAGUGAGCAGUGAUGGCAGCAUCAUCAGCAAAGAGGAAAUCCCAUAAGCAUUUCAGCUGGACUUUAGACUUUGCUCUCAAUCUAGAGAGAUUAAAGAAUUUUCCGUCUGAUCUGGUCCAGAGGUAAAUACCCUCUGUUGAAGUUCCAAAAGCAUGUUUCAGCAUGACAGCAAAAAAGAUCCCAAAUAAAGUUGGCAUGAGGACACAGCCCUGCUUCACUUUACUUCAAAUAUCAAAAGAAUCUGAUGUUAAGCCAUCAAAAACUACAGUGCCCUUCAUUUCCUCAUGAAAGGACCUGAUGAUAUUGAGGAGCUGAGGUGGACAUCCAAUCUUGGGGAGAAUUUUAUAAAAGCCAUCCUUACUAACCAAGUCAAAAGCCUUCGUAAGAUCUAUGAAGGCUACAAAAAGUGGCUGUCUUUGUUCCCUGCAUUUCUCCUGCAGAUGUCUAAGGGAAAAUACCAUGUCAGUAGUGGACCUGUUGGCUCGAAAUCCACACUGUGAUUCUGGAUAGACUCUCUCUGCAAGCACCUGGAGCCUCUUCAGUACGACACAGGCAAGCAGCUUCCCUACAACACUAAGAAGAGAGAUGCCAUGGUAGUUGUUACAGUCACCCCUGUCAUCUUUGUUCUUGUACAGUGUGAUGAUAUUUGCAUCCUUCAUGUCCUGUAGUACUCCACCUUCCCUCCAACAAAGACAGAAGAUUUCAUGCAAUUCAGUGGGAUGUUCUCUUUGCAGCGCUUCAGAACUUCGGCAGGGAUGUUAUCUUUCCCGGGUGCCUUGCCGGAGGCAAGGGAGUCCAGGGCCGCAUUUAGUUCUUCUAAAGUUGAUUCACUGUCAAGCUCCUCCAAGACAGUCAGGCACUCAGUGUUAUUUAAUGCUUCUUCAGUUACCAUAUUUUCUCUGGAAUAUAACUCAGAGUAGUGCUGCACCCAGCGUGCCAUCUGCUGUGCUCGGUCCUGGAUAAUCUCACCAGGGGAAGAUUUCUUCUGUGUUGGACCUAAAGCCUGCUUGAUACCAUCAUACAUCCCCUUGAUGUUGCCUGUAUCAGCUGCUAUCUGGAUCGGAGAGCAAAGUUGCAGCCAAUAAUCGUUAGCACAUCUCCUGGCAGUCUGUUGGACUUUGCUACGAGCAGCUCGCAUAACCUGUAGGUUGCACUCAGUGGAACAGGCUUUAUAUGCAAUUAGAGCUCUCCUUUUUUCCUCGAUGGCUGGUGUCCUUCGAAUGGGCUUCAAACCAAUCUGCUGUCUUUCUGAUCUCCUUACCAAAUACUGACAAGACGGUGUUAUAAACAGUAUUCUUGAAAUAUUCCCAUCGUUCAGAUGCAUUUACUUCAGCCAGGCCUGGGAGAGUUUCCUUGAGUGCUUGUGCAAAUUCCUCCACUUUGCCCUGAUUGCGGGUCUUGUUGAUGUCAAUUUGUGGUCUUCCUUCCUUCUUUGAGUGAUGCAAUCUCUUUGUUUACAGUUUUAUUCUGCACACCAAGGAGUGGUCUGUAUCGCAAUCAGCACCCUGAUAGCUGUGUGUGAUUGUAAUAUUGGGGAGGUUAGAGCGCCUGGUAAGAAUCAAGUCAAGCUGAUGCCAAUGCUUCGAUCUUGGAUGUCUCCAAGAGACUCUGUGUUGAGGCUUUGUUUUAAAGUAUGUAUUGCUAACACAAAAACCAUAGUAGCAGCAAAACUCCAGCAGGCGUUGGCGAUUUUUGUUCAUCUUCCCGAUGCUGAACUGACCUAAACAAGUGUGCCAAGAACUAUAAUCAGCUCCAACUAUGGCAUUAAAAUCGCCAAGGAUAAACAGUAGUUCUUUCUCAGGGAUUUUCUUGAUAGUAGCAGCCAGAUCGUCGUAGAAUUUGUCUUUGGAUUCUUCUGAAGAUGAUAAUGUCAGUGCAUAUGCACUAAAAAGAGUAACCAGCCCUGCUGAUGAGUGGAGCUGCAAGGACAGAUUUUUUUUCACUUCCUGCAGCAGGUGGAGUAAUGGAUCAUAGUAGGGUGUUUCUGACCGCAAAGCCAACCCCAUAUUCCCUAGACUCGUUUGAUGUUUUUCCCUGCCAGAAGAAUGAGAAGUUUCUCUCCUUAACAGAUCCUGAGUCUAACAGGAUCUUGAAGGGCAAUGAUGUCCAUCUGCAGUCUGCUCAACUCCAUGUCAAUGGCAGCUGUCUUACGUACGUCAUCUAUCUCUUGUAAAUCAUCAGAAAGGCCAGGGGUCAUUGUCCGAACAUUCCAGAUGCCCAACUUUAGGUCUAAAGUUUUCUUAUGUUUGUUGCAUGGUGCAUGGUGGUUAUCAAUCUGCUUGUCAGCUUUGACCCUAAACCCCAUGCACCCUGUGAGGUUAACAGACCGUGGUGGGGCAGCACCUUACUAGCUGGGGGCUGCCCAGCUUAAGGCAGGCGGUAGCUGCCCAAUGAGGUACAAUGACCUCUCCCACUGACAAAAGUGCCCCCUGGCAUCACAUGCCAAUCAAGCAAAGACUUAUAACUGGUAACUGCCACUUCCCGUGUUGUUUCAAUGCUGUAUGCAAAGCUGGAGUGUCCUCUCCAGAGCACGAGGCUGGGUAAAUUAAUAUGGAGGAUAAGCUGUUACCCAAGCAGCAGAUCCACCCUCUUCACAUUGCUGAAAUAGUCCAAUGGAAUGGCAAAGCCGAUACGAUUAGUUUCAGCUGCAUCACAGGAGUUUCCAGAACAUGAUAAUACACAGUCACAAACUGCUUCUGGGACUCCGGCUCUAGAUUUUGCCUAUUUACUACUGGAACAGGCUUCAGGAGACCGAAUCCUAUCUACUAGACCACCAGGGAUGGAUCCUAUCUAUUAGACCACCAGAGACUGAAUCCUAACCACUAGACCACCAGAGACCGAAUCCUAUCUACUAGACUACCAGGGACCGAAUCCUAUCUACUAGACCACCAGGGACCGAAUCCUAUCUACUAGACCACCAGGGACUGAAUCCUAACCACUAGACACCAGGGACUGAAUCCUAUCUACUAGACCACCAGGGACUGAAUCCUAUCUACUAGACCAACCAGGGACUGAAUCCUAACCACUAGACCACCAGGGACCGAAUCCUAACUGCUAGACCACCAGGGACGAACAUAUCUUUUUUAUUUUUAUUGUUAUUAACAUUAUUAUUAACAUUAUUAACAUUAUUAACAUUAUUAACAUUAUUACUACUACUACUACUAUUAUUAUUAUUAUUAUUAUUAUUAUUAUUAUUAUUAUUAUUAAAAUUAUUAUUUAUUGUUCUAUUGCUUUGCAUGUCUAUUGAGAGCUUCUGCACUGGAGACAAAUUCCUUGUGUGUCUAGAUCCGUUUCUUCAUUGAGCAGUUCCUGUUGUAUCUUAUCAGUUUUCUGAAUCUGGAUGAGUCAAACUGGAUUCUCGCAAGCUCCGAGUUGCAUGGGGCUUGGAUCAGGGAACAGAGGGCUUCAGUCCAGCAAAGCAGCCAAGGCUGGAAUGACCACAUGGGAAGCACAUUGAGCCUGAGCCAAAGGAGUUGCAGCUGCAGCAAGUUAGCCUGGAGGAGCAGCUUCAUGAGCAGUUUCCAGUGGCCAGUGAAGAUGAGGAGGUGAAGUCCAUAUUUCCUCCCAAUCUAAGGAUGCACAGGGCAGAGAGGAAACAGGUACAAUGCUGGUUGGCCAGGCUACUUACAAGGAGGCAACCUUGCCGAUUGUGAAGGGUUACAUUGACAUUGCCUAUUUAAUCCCACUCUAAGAGAUGGGCAUUGCUGGAACAACAUGUCCAAGUUCCUUGUUCUGUGUAUCUUCCUCCUUGGACUUCCUCCUUGAACAGUUUGGACUGACUCUGGAUUGUGUAUUGCAUUUUGUGAACUGGGCUUUGCCAAGAACUCCCAUAUCACAACAGUCUUGUUGAGCAUGGCAGCAGGACAUGCUCAUCAUGUGAACUUCUUUUGAAUUGCUGGGGGUUUGAAUAAAGCCAUUGCCUCACUAUGGUGUGUGCGUGUGUGUGAGAGAGAGAGAAGGCAAAAUACCUUUGCUGUUUGUCAUUGAUGUAUGUUAACAAUAAAUUAUAAUUGCAGCUGUGCUGUACAUUAGUUGGUCCUCCCA
This is a long non-coding RNA of Pantherophis guttatus, 14726 nucleotides long. RefSeq lists it as uncharacterized. The record is from RefSeq and is a predicted model, not a curated record. NCBI's taxonomy places the organism in Eukaryota, Metazoa, Chordata, Lepidosauria, Squamata, Colubridae.